RNAcentral lists this ribosomal RNA (455 nucleotides) under Mammaliicoccus sciuri. RNAcentral describes it as "bacterial SSU rRNA". It matches the Rfam family "Bacterial small subunit ribosomal RNA", at positions 35 to 476 of the family's 1533-position model. Lineage: Bacteria; Bacillati; Bacillota; Bacilli; Caryophanales; Staphylococcaceae. The record is from RNAcentral.
GCUGGCGGCGUGCCUAAUACAUGCAAGUCGAGCGAACAGAUGAGAAGCUUGCUUCUCUGAUGUUAGCGGCGGACGGGUGAGUAACACGUGGGUAACCUACCUAUAAGACUGGGAUAACUCCGGGAAACCGGGGCUAAUACCGGAUAAUAUUUUGAACCGCAUGGUUCAAUAGUGAAAGACGGUUUCGGCUGUCACUUAUAGAUGGACCCGCGCCGUAUUAGCUAGUUGGUAAGGUAACGGCUUACCAAGGCGACGAUACGUAGCCGACCUGAGAGGGUGAUCGGCCACACUGGAACUGAGACACGGUCCAGACUCCUACGGGAGGCAGCAGUAGGGAAUCUUCCGCAAUGGGCGAAAGCCUGACGGAGCAACGCCGCGUGAGUGAUGAAGGUCUUCGGAUCGUAAAACUCUGUUGUUAGGGAAGAACAAAUUUGUUAGUAACUGAACAAGUCUGA